Molecule: small RNA, 989 nt
Filed under: Pongo abelii (Sumatran orangutan)
Lineage: Eukaryota; Metazoa; Chordata; Mammalia; Primates; Hominidae
Description: retained intron
Source: RNAcentral
AUAUUGUUGUUGGUACACCCGGGAGAGUGUUUGAUAUGUUAAACAGAAGAUACCUUUCUCCAAAAUGGAUCAAAAUGUUUGUUUUGGAUGAAGCAGAUGAAAUGUUGAGCCGUGGUUUUAAGGAUCAAAUCUAUGAGAUUUUCCAAAAACUAAACACAAGUAUCCAGGUUGUGUUGCUUUCUGCCACAAUGCCAACUGAUGUGUUGGAAGUGACCAAAAAAUUCAUGAGAGAUCCAAUUCGAAUUCUGGUGAAAAAGGAAGAAUUGACCCUUGAAGGAAUCAAACAGUUUUAUAUUAAUGUUGAGAGAGAGGAGUGGAAGUUGGAUACACUUUGUGACUUGUACGAGACACUGACCAUCACGCAGGCUGUUAUUUUUCUCAAUACGAGGCGCAAGGUGGACUGGCUGACUGAGAAAAUGCAUGCCAGAGAUUUCACAGUUUCUGCUCUGCAUGGUGACAUGGACCAGAAGGAGAGAGAUGUUAUCAUGAGGGAAUUCCGGUCAGGGUCAAGUCGUGUUCUGAUCACUACUGACUUGUUGGCUCGCGGGAUUGAUGUGCAACAAGUGUCUUUGGUUAUAAAUUAUGAUCUACCUACCAAUCGUGAAAACUAUAUUCACAGGUGAGAAGCCAGCAUCUUGGCUGUAUGGAAAAAAUUCAUACGUUUUUCUACUGUGAUUUGUAUGAAAGGUAACAUCAAAUCAAGGAAUAGAUUCAGUAAAGUCAGUAGUGUUCGGUAAGAUGAUGUAAUUAAAUUUGUACUAGGGAAGGUUGAUGAGAACAAAGUGGGAAAACUUGUAAACAUUGCCCAGAUUGUGGACAUAGGUUUUUUUUUCCACAAUUGUUGGUCUUAGCUUAUGCUUGAGCUUUUAGUGAUGUUGUGUCCAUGUGUUUUUCUUGGUGAUUUUUUCUAUAGUUGGGAUUUUCUUGGUGUCGCUGGUAGCAAUUUGAGUGAACCCUGGUUUAGUUAUAGUGGCUUUAUCCCUAAAUAA